Molecule: non-coding RNA, 45 nt
Organism: Cavia aperea (Brazilian guinea pig)
Lineage: Eukaryota; Metazoa; Chordata; Mammalia; Rodentia; Caviidae
Source: Ensembl
GAGCAUCGUCAGCACUGCCUCGAGUGGGCAGCCUUGUUUUCCUGC